Brevibacterium linens is the source of this 369-nucleotide non-coding RNA. It matches the Rfam family "Bacterial RNase P class A". From Rfam's summary of the family: Ribonuclease P (RNase P) is a ubiquitous endoribonuclease, found in archaea, bacteria and eukarya as well as chloroplasts and mitochondria. Its best characterised activity is the generation of mature 5'-ends of tRNAs by cleaving the 5'-leader elements of precursor-tRNAs. NCBI's taxonomy places the organism in Bacteria, Bacillati, Actinomycetota, Actinomycetes, Micrococcales, Brevibacteriaceae. The record is from Rfam.
ACAGGUCACCAGACGGUCGCGGCUCUCAUUUCGAGGGCUGAGGAACGUCCGGGCUCCACAGAGCAUGGAUGGUGGGUAACACCCACCCGGGGCAACCCGCGGGCCAGUGCAACAGAAAGCAGACCGCCCAGUUCCGACUGGGUAAGGGUGAAACGGUGGUGUAAGAGACCACCAGGGCGGCGGGUGACCGUCGCUGCUGGGUAAACCCCAUCCGGAGCAAGAUCAGACAGACGACGUUCGAGGCUGCUCGCCGAGUCGUCGGGUGGAUUGCUUGAGGCCGGUGGCAACAUCGGUCCCAGAUAGAUGACCGUCAGGCGAGAAGGGCGACCGACUCGUCGACAGAACCCGGCUUAUCGGUGGCCUGUCCUC